UGGGGAAUAUUGGACAAUGGGCGAAAGCCUGAUCCAGCCAUGCCGCGUGUGUGAAGAAGGUCUUCGGAUUGUAAAGCACUUUAAGUUGGGAGGAAGGGCAGUAAGCGAAUACCUUGCUGUUUUGACGUUACCGACAGAAUAAGCACCGGCUAACUCUGUGCCAGCAGCCGCGGUAAUACAGAGGGUGCAAGCGUUAAUCGGAAUUACUGGGCGUAAAGCGCGCGUAGGUGGUUCGUUAAGUUGAAUGUGAAAGCCCCGGGCUCAACCUGGGAACUGCAUCCAAAACUGGCGAGCUAGAGUAGGGCAGAGGGUGGUGGAAUUUCCUGUGUAGCGGAGAAAUGCGUAGAUAUAGGAAGGAACACCAGUGGCGAAGGCGAGCACCUGGGCUCAUACUGACACUGAGGUGCGAAAGCGUGGGGAGCAAACAGG
Molecule: ribosomal RNA, 429 nt
Filed under: Pseudomonadota bacterium
Lineage: Bacteria; Pseudomonadati; Pseudomonadota
Description: Proteobacteria bacterium partial 16S ribosomal RNA
Rfam family: Bacterial small subunit ribosomal RNA
Source: RNAcentral